GAUGAAGAACGUAGCGAAAUGCGAUAAGUAAUGUGAAUUGCAGAAUUCAGUGAAUCAUCGAAUCUUUGAACGCACAUUGCGCCCGUCAGUAUUCUGGCGGGCAUGCCUGUUCGAGCGUCAUUACGCCCCUCAAGUCCCCUGUGGACUUGGUGUUGGGGAUCGGCGAGGCUGGUUUUCCAGCACAGCCGUCCCUUAAAUUAAUUGGCGGUCUCGCCGUGGCCCUCCUCUGCGCAGUAGUAAAACACUCGCAACAGGAGCCCGGCGCGGUCCACUGCCGUAAAACCCCCCAACUUUUUAUAGUUGACCUCGAAUCCGGUAGGACUACCCGCUGAACUUAAGCAUAUCAAUAAGCGGAGGA
RNAcentral lists this unclassified non-coding RNA (358 nucleotides) under soil metagenome. RNAcentral's name for it is "partial contains 5.8S ribosomal RNA, internal transcribed spacer 2, and large subunit ribosomal RNA". The stretch from base 1 to 120 matches the Rfam family "5.8S ribosomal RNA", at positions 35 to 154 of the family's 154-position model. The record is from RNAcentral.